UCAGAUUGAACGCUGGCGGCAGGCCUAACACAUGCAAGUCGAGCGGUAACAUUUCUAAGCUUGCUUAGAAGAUGACGAGCGGCGGACGGGUGAGUAAUGCUUGGGGAUCUGCCUGAUGGCGGGGGACAACCACUGGAAACGGUGGCUAAUACCGCAUAAUACCUAUGGGUCAAAGUGUGGGACCUUCGGGCCACACGCCAUCAGAUGAACCCAAGUGAGAUUAGCUGGUUGGUAAGGUAACGGCUUACCAAGGCGACGAUCUCUAGCUGGUCUGAGAGGAUGAUCAGCCACACUGGGACUGAGACACGGCCCAGACUCCUACGGGAGGCAGCAGUGGGGAAUAUUGGACAAUGGGGGCAACCCUGAUCCAGCCAUGCCGCGUGUGUGAAGAAGGCCUUCGGGUUGUAAAGCACUUUCAGUGGUGAGGAAGGUGGUGUCGUUAAUAGCGGCAUCAAUUGACGUUAGCCACAGAAGAAGCACCGGCUAACUCCGUGCCAGCAGCCGCGGUAAUACGGAGGGUGCGAGCGUUAAUCGGAAUUACUGGGCGUAAAGCGCACGUAGGCGGUAUGUUAAGCAAGAUGUGAAAGCCCAGAGCUCAACUCUGGAAUAGCAUUUUGAACUGGCAUGCUAGAGUUUUGGAGAGGGUGGUAGAAUUUCCAGUGUAGCGGUGAAAUG
Molecule: ribosomal RNA, 675 nt
Filed under: uncultured bacterium
Lineage: Bacteria
Description: bacterial SSU rRNA
Rfam family: Bacterial small subunit ribosomal RNA
Source: RNAcentral